Molecule: ribosomal RNA, 614 nt
Filed under: uncultured bacterium
Lineage: Bacteria
Description: bacterial SSU rRNA
Rfam family: Bacterial small subunit ribosomal RNA
Source: RNAcentral
GAUUAGAGUUUGAUCCUGGCUCAGAGCGAACGCUGGCGGCAUGCCUAACACAUGCAAGUCGCACGCCCCGCAAGGGGAGUGGCGGACGGGUGCGUAACGCGUAGGGAUCUGUCCCGAGGUGGGGGRUAACCCUGGGAAACUAGUGGCUAAUACCGCAUGACACCUGAGUGGUCAAAGGCGCGAGUCGCCUUGGGAGGAACCUGCGUCCGAUUAGCUUGUUGGUGGGGUAACGGCCUACCAAGGCUGCGAUCGGUAGCUGGUCUGAGAGGAUGAUCAGCCACACUGGGACUGAGACACGGCCCAGACUCCUACRGGAGUGCAGCAGUGGGGAAUAUUGGACAAUGGGCGCAAGCCUGAUCCAGCAAUGCCGCGUGGGUGAAGAAGGUCUUCGGWUUGUAAAGCCCUUUCGGCGGGGACGAUGAUGACGGUACCCGCAGAAGAAGCCCCGGCUAACUUCGUGCCAGCAGCCGCGGUAAUACGAAGUGGGGCUAGCGUUGCUCGGAAUGACUGGGCGUAAAGGGCGCGUAGGCGGCGCACUUAGUCGGSSKKRAAAGUCCUGGUGGCUCAACCUGGGGGACGGCGCUCGAUACGUGGUGUGCUUGAGUGGGGGAAGA